AACGAACGCUGGCGGCAUGCCUAACACAUGCAAGUCGAACGAGACCUUCGGGACUGGUUGCUCACGGGUGCGUAACGCGGGGGAACCUGCACGUAGGUUCGGAAUAACUCCCCGAAGGGGGUGCUAAUACCGGAUAAUGUCUGCUGACCAAAGAUAUAACGCCCUAGGGUGGGCACGCGUUGGAUUAACUGGUUGGUAGUGUAAGAGCCUACCACGGCGACGAUCCAUAGCUGGUCUGAGAGAAAGAUCCGCCACACUGAGACUGAGACACGGCCCAGACUCCUACGGGAAGCAGCAGUGGGGAAUAUUGGCAUAUGGGCGAAAGCCUGAACCAGCUCUGCCGCGUGAGUGAUGAAGUCCUUAGGGUUGUAAAGCUCUUUUACCCGGGAUGAUAAUGACAGUACCGGGAGAAUAAGCACCGGCUAACUCCGUG
RNAcentral lists this ribosomal RNA (433 nucleotides) under uncultured bacterium. Its description in RNAcentral is "partial 16S ribosomal RNA". It matches the Rfam family "Bacterial small subunit ribosomal RNA", at positions 29 to 507 of the family's 1533-position model. The record is from RNAcentral.